Molecule: ribosomal RNA, 468 nt
Filed under: uncultured bacterium
Lineage: Bacteria
Description: partial 16S ribosomal RNA
Rfam family: Bacterial small subunit ribosomal RNA
Source: RNAcentral
GACGAACGCUGGCGGCGUGCUUAACACAUGCAAGUCGAACGGAAAGGCCCUGCUUUUGUGGUGUGCUAGAGGGGCGAACGGGUGAGUAAGACGAGUGUAACCUGACCUUGACUUUCGGAUAACUUCAGGAAACUGGGGCUAAUAUCGGAUAGGAGCUCUUGCACCGUGGGGGGGGUUGGAAAGUUUCAGCUGUUGGGGUUGGACUCGCGGAUUACCGGGUUGUUGGUGGGGUUGUGGCUUACCAAGGGUUUGACGGAUAGGCGGCCUGCGAGGGUGGCCGGGGACACGGCGACUACGAGACGGCGCAGAAGCCUACGGGAGGCAGCAGUGGGGAGUAUGGCACAGUGGGAGCGAGCCUGAGGCAGCGACGCCGGGUGCGGGAUGACGGCCUUCUGGUUGUCAACAGCUUUCGCCUGUGACGAAGCGUUAGUGACGGUAAUGGGUGAAGAAGCACCGGCUAACUACGUG